This is a long non-coding RNA of Rhododendron vialii, 1493 nucleotides long. RefSeq lists it as uncharacterized. The transcript has 4 exons. The record is from RefSeq and is a predicted model, not a curated record. Lineage: Eukaryota; Viridiplantae; Streptophyta; Magnoliopsida; Ericales; Ericaceae.
GCUUAGCUGCGCCGUCGCUGCUCUCUCCGUGCUUUAAUCUGAUUCCAGGCUUCUUCAGAGGUAACAACCGUGGAGAAAAGAAGGUGUACUCUCAAUGACUGACAUCGAAAAGCCUCUCGGAAGAUGGACUCUCAAUGACUUUGGCAAGGGAAAAGAGGAGCAAUCACUAAGGUGCUUUCCAAGAGCCAAGGGGUUGCUAGGGAGUCAUAUUGGGUGAAUGUAGGAAAGCCACAACAAUAUCAUAUUGUCGGUUUUGAGGUAUCUAUUUCGAUCGUCUCAGGCGAUGGGACCAGGUUUUUUCUUGAUGUUCAUAUCUUAGGCGGCGGGACCAUUUUUUUGUUGUUGUUGUUCAUGUUUGAGGCGGCGGGACCAUUUUUUUACGUUGUUGUUGUUAGUCUUUGUUUGGCCCAUUUGUAAUUUUGGAUAGUUGCAAACUCGCUAUUAUGUCGCAUUGUGGCUUUAAGCACGGGGAAUUCCUACGAUUAUGCUUGGGUUUUUUUUUUUUUUUUUUGUGUAGUUGGGUUUGUUGGACAAGGGUUGAUAUAUUGCACGUGAGUCCAAUGUCUAUUUGUGUGUGCGAUCGUUUGAGCCAUGACUUCAGACACGGGCAUGAACCUAAUUUAAGAAAACAAAUCUUCCUGUACAAAUCAGCUUCGUUGGCGGGGGUGGUCAAUAGUUUUGUAAUUCAUUUUAGUUGUAUUUAAAAUGUGUUGCGCCGUGCCCUCAGACACAGGCAUUCACUAGUUCAUUUAUAUAAUAAGGGAGAACGGUUUUUAAAUCUUAUGUCCUACAUAAAUUCUAACCAUUAAUUUGCCCCAUAAAUCCUACGGCUCUCCUUCUCCCUCUCUCUUUCAACAGUGGUAAUUGCACAAUUGCCACUAAUUAGAUCUUACGUUCAAAGUUGAGAUCUCUCUCUCUCUCUCUCUCUCUCUCUCUCUCUCUCUCUCUCUCUCAUCUUCUUCUACGUUCCCUUUCUGGCUCUUCACUCCCAAAGCUGACACCCCUCCUCAACCCUGUGAUUUUCUUCAAGAAUGAAUACUCUCUCUCUCUCUCAUCUUCUUCUACGUUCCCUUUCUGGCUCUUCACUCCCAAAGCUGACACCCCUCAUCAACCCUAUGAUUUUGUUCAAGAAUGAAUACUCUCUCUCUAUCUCUCUCUCUAUCUCUCUCUCUCCUCUUCUUCUACGUACCCUUUCUGGCUCUCCACUCCCAAAGCCGACACCCCUCCUCAGCCCUAUGAUUUUCUUCGAGAAUGAAUACUUUUUCUAGAUCAAUUUUGGUCACAAAUCCAAUGAUAGAUCAAUGACUUGUCCUCCUCAUCUUCUCUCUCUACACACACUCCCAAAUGCAGCCGAUUUGAAACCAGGUUGACUCCAUUUUUUUUCUCAAUUUAAAUGGCUAUUUCGAUUGCAAAGCUCUCACCAUUGUUCAAUCUAUCACGGGAUUGUUUAAUUUUGGGUCAAGGUUUGAUUUUGCAAUUUUGUUUUGAUUUCA